RNAcentral lists this ribosomal RNA (372 nucleotides) under uncultured bacterium. RNAcentral describes it as "bacterial SSU rRNA". It matches the Rfam family "Archaeal small subunit ribosomal RNA", at positions 745 to 1116 of the family's 1478-position model. The record is from RNAcentral.
UCCCAGCCUUAAACGAUGCUCGCUAGGUGUCAGAUGCGGUGCGACCGCAUCUGGCGCCGCAGUGAAAACCUGAAGCGAGUCACCUGGGAAGUACGGUCGCAAGGCUGAAACUUAAAGGAAUUGGCGGGGGAGCACUACAACGGGUGGAGUCUGCGGUUCAAUUGGAUUCAACGCCGGAAAGCUUACCAGGCUCGACAGCACUAUGAAGGUCAGGCUAAAGACCUUACCGAAUUCGCUGAGAGGAGGUGCAUGGCCGUCGCCAGUGCGUGCCGUGAGGUGUCCUGUCAAUUCAGGCAACGGACGAGAUCCCUAUCCUCAGUUGCUAUCGGGCGCUUACGCGUGCCGAGCACUCUGAGGAGACUGCCGCCGAAA